Molecule: ribosomal RNA, 484 nt
Filed under: uncultured bacterium
Lineage: Bacteria
Description: partial 16S ribosomal RNA
Rfam family: Bacterial small subunit ribosomal RNA
Source: RNAcentral
GACGAACGCUGGCGGCGUGCUUAACACAUGCAAGUCGAACGAUGAAGCCGGAGCUUGCUCUGGUGAAUUAGUGGCGAACGGGUGAGUAACACGUGAGUAACCUGCCCUUGACUCUGGGAUAACUGCUAGAAAUGGUAGCUAAUACCGGAUACGACCCUCGGCGGCAUCGCCAGGGGGUGGAAAGAAUUUCGGUCAAGGAUGGACUCGCGGCCUAUCAGCUAGUUGAUGAGGUAACGGCUCACCAAGGCGACGACGGGUAGCCGGCGUGAGAGGGGGACCGGCCACACUGGGACUGAGGCACGGCCCAGACUCCUACGGGAGGCAGCAGUGGGGAAUAUUGCACAAUGGGCGCAAGCCUGAUGCAGCAACGCCGCGUGAGGGAUGACGGCCUUCGGGUUGUAAACCUCUUUUAGUAGGGAAGAAGCGAAAGUGACGGUACCUGCAGAAAAAGCACCGGCUAACUACGUGCCAGCAGCCGCGGUAA